GCCGGUUUAGCUCAGGGGUAGAGCAACUGAUUUGUAAUCAGUGGGUCGGGGGUUCAAAUCCCUCUUCCGGCACCA
RNAcentral lists this transfer RNA (75 nucleotides) under Alphaproteobacteria bacterium. Its description in RNAcentral is "tRNA-Thr". It matches the Rfam family "tRNA". Rfam says of the family: Transfer RNA (tRNA) molecules are approximately 80 nucleotides in length. Lineage: Bacteria; Pseudomonadati; Pseudomonadota; Alphaproteobacteria. The record is from RNAcentral.